RNAcentral lists this transfer RNA (63 nucleotides) under Trapezodirus sp. 1 EF-2015. Its description in RNAcentral is "tRNA-Asn". Lineage: Eukaryota; Metazoa; Arthropoda; Insecta; Coleoptera; Leiodidae. The record is from RNAcentral.
UUAAUUGAAACCAAAAAGAGGUAUAUCACUGUUAAUGAUACCAAUGAAUUAAUUCCAAUUAAA